This 108-nucleotide ribosomal RNA is filed under the name Acanthosepion pharaonis. The record is from RNAcentral. Lineage: Eukaryota; Metazoa; Mollusca; Cephalopoda; Sepiida; Sepiidae.
AACCAUAUCAUGUUGAAACAUCGGUUCCCAUAUGAUCACCAAAAUUAAGCAACAUUGAGCCUGGUCAGUACCUAGAUGGGUGACUGCUUCGGAAUCACCUGGUGCUAU